This 460-nucleotide ribosomal RNA is filed under the name uncultured bacterium. RNAcentral's name for it is "partial 16S ribosomal RNA". It matches the Rfam family "Bacterial small subunit ribosomal RNA", at positions 338 to 795 of the family's 1533-position model. The record is from RNAcentral.
CCUACGGGUGGCUGCAGUGAGGAAUAUUGGUCAAUGGACGAGAGUCUGAACCAGCCAAGUCGCGUGAAGGAUGACUGCCCUAUGGGUUGUAAACUUCUUUUAUAUGGGAAUAAAAUGUUCCACGUGUGGGGUUUUGUAUGUACCAUAUGAAUAAGGAUCGGCUAACUCCGUGCCAGCAGCCGCGGUAAUACGGAGGAUCCGAGCGUUGUCCGGAUUUAUUGGGUUUAAAGGGAGCGUAGGUGGGUUGUUAAGUCAGUUGUGAAAGUGUGCGGCUCAACCGGAAAAUUGCAGUUGAAACUGGCAGUCUUGAGUACAGUAGAGGUGGGCGGAAUUCGUGGUGUAGCGGUGAAAUGCUUAGAUAUCACGAAGAACUCCGAUGGCGAAGGCAGUUCACUGGACUGCAACUGACACUGAGGCUCGAAAGUAUGGGUAGCAAACAGGAUUAGAUACCCCUGUAGUC